GAUGAACGCUGGCGGCGUGCCUAAUACAUGCAAGUCGAGCGAACAGACGAGGAGCUUGCUCCUCUGACGUUAGCGGCGGACGGGUGAGUAACACGUGGAUAACCUACCUAUAAGACUGGGAUAACUUCGGGAAACCGGAGCUAAUACCGGAUAAUAUAUUGAACCGCAUGGUUCAAUAGUGAAAGACGGUUUUGCUGUCACUUAUAGAUGGAUCCGCGCCGCAUUAGCUAGUUGGUAAGGUAACGGCUUACCAAGGCAACGAUGCGUAGCCGACCUGAGAGGGUGAUCGGCCACACUGGAACUGAGACACGGUCCAGACUCCUACGGGAGGCAGCAGUAGGGAAUCUUCCGCAAAGGGCGAAAGCCUGACGGAGCAACGCCGCGUGAGUGAUGAAGGUCUUCGGAUCGUAAAACUCUGUUAUUAGGGAAGAACAAAUGUGUAAGUAACUAUGCACGUCUUGACGGUACCUAAUCAGAAAGCCACGGCAAACUACGUG
This 497-nucleotide ribosomal RNA is filed under the name uncultured bacterium. RNAcentral's name for it is "partial 16S ribosomal RNA". It matches the Rfam family "Bacterial small subunit ribosomal RNA", at positions 28 to 507 of the family's 1533-position model. The record is from RNAcentral.